AUGAAGCCGGAAUUGCUAGUAAUGGCAGGUCAGCAUACUGCCGUGAAUACGUUCCCGGGCCUUGUACACACCGCCCGUCACACCAUGAGAGUUGGGAAUACCCGAAGCCUGUGAGCUAACUUUAGGGAGGCAGCAGUCGAAGGUAGAAUCAAUGAUUGGGGUGAAGUCGUAACAAGGUACC
Molecule: ribosomal RNA, 181 nt
Filed under: uncultured bacterium
Lineage: Bacteria
Description: partial 16S ribosomal RNA
Rfam family: Bacterial small subunit ribosomal RNA
Source: RNAcentral